RNAcentral lists this ribosomal RNA (465 nucleotides) under uncultured bacterium. Its description in RNAcentral is "partial 16S ribosomal RNA". It matches the Rfam family "Bacterial small subunit ribosomal RNA", at positions 28 to 507 of the family's 1533-position model. The record is from RNAcentral.
GACGAACGCUGGCGGCGUGCUUAACACAUGCAAGUCGAACGGAAAGGCCCCUUUGGGGGUACUCGAGUGGCGAACGGGUGAGUAACACGUGAGUAACCUGCCCUUGACUUCGGGAUAACUUCAGGAAACUGGGGCUAAUACCGGAUAGGAAUCCUUGCUGCAUGGUGGGGGUUGGAAAGCUUCGGCGGUUUUGGGUGGACUCGCGGCUUAUCAGCUUGUUGGUGGGGUAGUGGCUUACCAAGGCUUUGACGGGUAGCCGGCCUGAGAGGGCGACCGGCCACAUUGGGACUGAGAUACGGCCCAGACUCCUACGGGAGGCAGCAGUGGGGAAUAUUGCACAAUGGGCGGAAGCCUGAUGCAGCAACGCCGCGUGCGGGAGGACGGCCUUCGGGUUGUAAACCGCUUUCAGCAGGGGCGAAGCUUGUGGUGACGGUACCUGCAGAAGAAGCACCGGCUAACUACGUG